This 415-nucleotide ribosomal RNA is filed under the name uncultured prokaryote. Its description in RNAcentral is "bacterial SSU rRNA". It matches the Rfam family "Bacterial small subunit ribosomal RNA", at positions 505 to 918 of the family's 1533-position model. The record is from RNAcentral.
GUGCCAGCAGCCGCGGUAAUACGUAGGGGGCGAGCGUUGUCCGGAAUUAUUGGGCGUAAAGCGCGCGCAGGCGGUCUCUUAAGUCUGAUGUGAAAGCCCACGGCUCAACCGUGGAGGGUCAUUGGAAACUGGGGGACUUGAGUGCAGGAGAGGAGAGCGGAAUUCCACGUGUAGCGGUGAAAUGCGUAGAGAUGUGGAGGAACACCAGUGGCGAAGGCGGCUCUCUGGCCUGCAACUGACGCUGAGGCGCGAAAGCGUGGGGAGCAAACAGGAUUAGAUACCCUGGUAGUCCACGCCGUAAACGAUGAGUGCUAAGUGUUAGAGGGGUCACACCCUUUAGUGCUGCAGCUAACGCGAUAAGCACUCCGCCUGGGGAGUACGGCCGCAAGGCUGAAACUUAAAUGAAUUGGCGGGG